This 546-nucleotide ribosomal RNA is filed under the name Enterococcus mundtii. RNAcentral's name for it is "bacterial SSU rRNA". It matches the Rfam family "Bacterial small subunit ribosomal RNA", at positions 1 to 522 of the family's 1533-position model. Lineage: Bacteria; Bacillati; Bacillota; Bacilli; Lactobacillales; Enterococcaceae. The record is from RNAcentral.
UGGAGAGUUUGAUCCUGGCUCAGGACGAACGCUGGCGGCGUGCCUAAUACAUGCAAGUCGAACGCUUCUUUUCCCACCGGAGCUUGCUCCACCGGGAAAAGAGGAGUGGCGAACGGGUGAGUAACACGUGGGUAACCUGCCCAUCAGAAGGGGAUAACACUUGGAAACAGGUGCUAAUACCGUAUAACAAUMGAAACCGCAUGGUUUCRWUUUGAAAGGCGCUUUACGGUGCCGCUGAUGGAUGGACCCGCGGUGCAUUAGCUAGUUGGUGAGGUAACGGCUCACCAAGGCCACGAUGCAUAGCCGACCUGAGAGGGUGAUCGGCCACAUUGGGACUGAGACACGGCCCAAACUCCUACGGGAGGCAGCAGUAGGGAAUCUUCGGCAAUGGACGAAAGUCUGACCGAGCAACGCCGCGUGAGUGAAGAAGGUUUUCGGAUCGUAAAACUCUGUUGUUAGAGAAGAACAAGGGUGAGAGUAACUGUUCACCCCUUGACGGUAUCUAACCAGAAAGCCACGGCUAACUACGUGCCAGCAGCCGCGGUA